ACAGUUAGACACACUAUACCUUGACUCCAACACGGUGGUAUCAUUUUGGUCCUCUUCCAGUACAAAGGAUAACAAUCAACCAACCUAGCUCACAGGAUUGUCUUGAGGAGAGUGCUUCGUGUGCUGUAAAGUGCUGGAGAAAUUUGAGCUGUUUAUUAUUAUUGCUGUUCUUUUUCUUCUUAUUCCCAGUACUGGUGUGAGUGGAUUUUUUCACCCCUGAGCAGUUCACUCAUAUGCACUCAGCACACCUCCGCUUUACCAAAAGAUUUUAGUCCAGUAUCUUCUGAGGAACAGUGAAUCUCCCUUUAAGGGGGAGCUGUUAGGGGUCAUUAUGUACUGAUCUACUGAUCUACGAGGAAGAUCAUCUUUAGAACAUUACCAUCUAUAGGAAGUCCCAUUGUCAUUUCCAGUCUGUCCAGGACAUCUUCCAUUUCAAAGUCAAACACCUUUGGCUUUACUCCAAGGUUGCAUUGCAUGCUCACUAGCAUGCGAAAUCAGCAGAACGUAGAAGACUUACGACGAUGCCUUUUCUUAGAUCUCUCGUGUUUGUGAAGCCGAUUUCUGUUCCUCACUUAAGUCCAGCCAUGGAACUAUAUAAGGGAAAGGGAAUGGAGUUAUCUUGGGUUCUUGAAGACUAUGCUGGCAUAGCUUAAUCUCUAUUAGGUCUCAGCAGACUGGAAAACCUUUGCAUAUGGGCCCGGUGUGCGACUGCGUGUCUGUUUUCCAAUGUUCAGUCUUACCAAGAACAGAGAGGAUCAUCUCCGGAUUACCCGGAAGAUGAGGAGUGUUUUGGCCAUAGCAACUCCAGAAGACCAUUUACUAAGACAUAGAAGGGCUAUAAUCUGAAUCAGUGGAGAGAUCACAUCAAUGAAAUCACACACCUUUGAAGUACUGGAAUAUGACGAAGCUUAUAGGGUUGUUGUAAGGAAAGUGCCUCUUAGAACUUUAAAGAACCAUAUACAUUUGAUUUGUUCUUAAAAUUAUCCAGUUGUCAAUAGCUCUGAAUUUAAAGGUCAACAGAUGAGAGUGGGAUAGGAGUGUGUUGGUAAAUGUUUAACAAUCAACUCUCUGAAAAAAUGUAUGA
This is a non-coding RNA of Phascolarctos cinereus (koala), 1084 nucleotides long. NCBI's taxonomy places the organism in Eukaryota, Metazoa, Chordata, Mammalia, Diprotodontia, Phascolarctidae. The record is from RefSeq and is a predicted model, not a curated record.